AAGGAGUCUAACAUCUAUGGGAGUGUUCGGGUGUCAAACCCGUCCGCGCAGUGAAAGCGAACGGAGGUGGGAGCCCCUCGGGGCGCACCAUCGACCGAUCCUGAUGUCUUCGGAUGGAUUUGAGUAAGAGCAUAGCUGUUGGGACCCGAAAGAUGGUGAACUAUGCCUGAAUAGGGCGAAGCCAGAGGAAACUCUGGUGGAGGCUCGCAGCGGUUCUGACGUGCAAAUCGAUCGUCAAAUUUGGGUAUAGGGGCGAAAGACUAAUCGAACCAUCUGGUAGCUGGUUCCUGC
Molecule: unclassified non-coding RNA, 291 nt
Filed under: uncultured fungus
Lineage: Eukaryota; Fungi
Description: partial contains 5.8S rRNA, ITS2 and 28S rRNA
Rfam family: Eukaryotic large subunit ribosomal RNA
Source: RNAcentral